GCCUGGCCCUAAAUCUUGAUACUUACUAUUACCGAAGUAUCCGCCAGAGAACUACGAGCACAAACGCUUAAAACUCUAAGGACUUGGCGGUGCCCUAAACCCACCUAGAGGAGCCUGUUCUGUAAUCGAUGAUCCACGAUCAACCCGACCGCCCCUUGCCAAACACAGCCUACAUACCGCCGUCGCCAGCCCACCUCGAAUGAGAGCACAACAGUGGGCACAAUAGCACCCUCCCCGCUAAUAAGACAGGUCAAGGUAUAGCCUAUGGGACGGAAGAAAUGGGCUACAUUCCCUGUACACAGGGCAGCACGGAAAGAGGCAUGAAACUGCUUCUAGAAGGAGGAUUUAGCAGUAAAAUGGGAUAAUAGAGCCCAUUUUAAGCCGGCUCUAGGGCACGU
This 398-nucleotide ribosomal RNA is filed under the name Chloephaga melanoptera (Andean goose). Its description in RNAcentral is "partial 12S ribosomal RNA". It matches the Rfam family "Bacterial small subunit ribosomal RNA", at positions 794 to 1384 of the family's 1533-position model. The record is from RNAcentral. Lineage: Eukaryota; Metazoa; Chordata; Aves; Anseriformes; Anatidae.